Acinonyx jubatus (cheetah) is the source of this 11024-nucleotide long non-coding RNA. RefSeq lists it as uncharacterized. NCBI's taxonomy places the organism in Eukaryota, Metazoa, Chordata, Mammalia, Carnivora, Felidae. The transcript has 4 exons. The record is from RefSeq and is a predicted model, not a curated record.
UCGGUUGGGGACCGACUCUCGAUUCCGGCCCCCAUCGCAGUCUCACAGUUCAUGGGUUUGAGCCCCGCAUCUGGUUCUGUGCUGACAGCACAGAGUCUGCUUGGGACUCUCUCUCCCUCCCUCUGUCUGCCCCUCUGCCUCACUUGUGCUCUCUCUACAAUAAAUAAACUUUAGACUUGUGGGGGCUGUUUUCCUCACGGCGAGAAAUGCCAAGUGCACGUGACAGGGUCCUUGGGGACACGGGGACUUUCUAGGCUCCUCCGCCAUCACGGGGUCGUCUUGUCACCUCUCCGUCACAGGGUGGCUGCGGCAUCACGUCUGCCUUCCAAGCGGGAAGCAAAGAAAGUCGUGUCUCUGUCCGUCCCUCUUCUCACGCGACAGCAAAAGCUUUUCCAGAACACCCUUCCAUAGGCUUCUGUUUCUGUUUCCCCGACCUCCACUGUGUUCCAGAAGGGAGGGCCGACGAGCAAGCAUUUAGUUCUCCAGCCUCUGGGAGAAGGGAGUUGGAAUUAGGUGCUCAGCGAGCCCAUCCACAGCAUCAGCUGCAAACAGUGUCCCCUUACUGAGAGCCACUUCCUCAAGACAGGAACGGUCCGUGAACGUUUGUCCUGAAUCCCUAGCGUCUAGAGCAGUAUCUGGCCCGUCGCUGACCGCUGUGCGAAAUCGCACGCACGCCGGAGUGGACACGUGCACAGGACUGGGAGCCUCAGACCUGCUCCCUGUAGGUAGGUCGCUGUGCCUUCGAGUGUGAGGACGGCAGUGUGCAGGGACAGGAGAGGGGUGAACUCAGGGGGUCAAACCUAGGAAUGGUGGUACCUCCCAGCCCAUCACUUCCCGCUGGUCUGUAACUUUUUAGGAGAGACUGUUUUCUUUGGGAUGGCGGGGGGGGGGGGGACGUUCCUAUGUCAUGAAGCGUUGGAGUUCCUUCUACGUCUUAAUUCCCCAGAUGUUCAGCAGCAUGCCCCUCACACAGCCAGCCUUCCUAGGUGGCGUUGGGGGGCUCCGGGCUAGGUCCCCGAGGGACUCUGAGCUUCCCCCCGUCACCUUCCAGGGGCCGGUGAGGCAGGAACAACGCUGCAUGGACCGGGGGGGGGGGGGGCUGGACCCGCAGGGCAGAUUGGGUCGGCGGCCGCAGCACCCACAGGGGGCCGCGGUGACCCGUCGAGCGCACCUGCCGGAGGGCGACUCGGGCCCAGACCCGGGCUUGUGGCGAGCCCUGCCGACCCCACGUUCACGGAAGAAGGGGCGUCUAGCAUGGCAGGUGAGCAUGAGGGGAGGAGGGCUGGAGCCCCGCCCUGCCACUUACUCACAGGGACCGUCCCCAAGUUGCCGUCCCUUCUAAACACCCUGCCACGGGUCAUCGCGAAAGUGGAUGAGAAAAUGCUUGGGGAACACCCGGAACAUGCCGCGUGCCCAGUAGGUAUGACUAUGUGGAAACACGUAGAAAACUCUACCCCUUGUCCUGCCCCUCAUUAUAAACGGAGCCCGAAAGGGGUCAAGUCUGGUCCGGGCUUCAGCCGUCGAUUGCCGGCACGCGGGCACGGCUCCAGGCUGCCCCUCACUGCACCGCGCACACACGACUUUGGUGCCCGUUUGCAGCCGGGACUGUCACCUGGAGGUCCCGGGCCGCCCGCGCCUCGCGCACGUGGCACGACGCACAGCGCAGAGAUUGGGUGACAGCCAUCUGCGCCCCGGUGCUCCCUCCACCCGGCCUCCCCGACCGGCCUGCCCUCCCCCGCCCGCCAGCCUCCCGCCAGCCCGUGGAGUGUCCCCGAGGCCCCUGAGCUGGCGUUUUCAUGGAACAGGCUUCCAGGGACAGCCACCCUCCCCCUUCCUGCGCGUUCUCGGGCAAGCCAGAACCCUCCGCUCACAACAGGAAACCAAUAGCUCUGUGCUAUCAGAAGACAUUUCCUUCACGGCACAGAGCGUCUGAGUAAUGAUUUUGAGCCGGCUUCACCCAUUUCCGGUGGAAGGAGGCAAGUGGCCGGUCCCCGCCCCUGCACGGCCCUCUCGGAGCCCCGCCGCCCAGCAGCCUCCGGCUGGAAGACGGGCCUCUCUUCCCUUUGCCGUCCCGGCCCGGCACCCCGAGUAGCAGAUUCACUCGGAGGGGCUUUCCCGCGUCUACGCAGAACACCGUCACUGGCUCGUACUCUCAUCUGCAUGCCGUUCACAGGUGGCUUUGACGGCGAAAAGGCGGGUCGAGAAGGUCACACCUUUUUGGAAGGACUCUGUCCCUCAGAAGGAUGAGCAUUUUGAAUCCCUUUCUUCGAGUGCUGUCUUGCAAAGUUCUUAUGUGGAUUUGGGGGCUCAUCUACAAGGCUCCAGGCCUCCCAGCAUCCGGAGGGAAUUUAGACCAACCUCUUUCUCGGGGCAUCGAAGGAGAGCACGGCCCUGGGCUUCUUGGAGCAGUUCCAGCUGGAGGUAUUCACCCGUGUGACCUAGGACGUGUUGCUGAGCGGGGACCCCCGUCAGCGAGCUCGCCUGCUAGGAGGCCACCUUGUCAGCAGGUGGGGAAAGUGCCCGUCCUGGCCUUACAGCCGUGCUCAGGCUUCACCGAUGGGGCUCAGGCUGGAGGGACCGAGCAUCAAACAGGGGAAACCAGCAAGGACGCGGAGCCAGCGGAGGCUGCCUCCACGUUCACUUUAAGCCCGGACUCAACCAGAGCCCCCUGCACUCGUCUUUCCCGGCCACAGGGAAAAAGCCACCUGGAGCGGGACAGAACCGAGCCGGCGUGAAAAGAGAGGCCAAGGUGACCAUGGCUCCGGCACGGAAUGGCGCUCUCUCUGGAAGGCUGCAGGAAUUACCUGUGCAAGUCCCGGGCCUUGGUGCUUGUUUGCAGUGGCUCUUCCAUUUUUUCCCCAAACUUGCUUCCCUUCCCGGCUCAUCUGAGCCUGUUGGCCUCCCGUCCCAGCUGCAGUCUGAGAAAGAAUGGCUCCAGCGUCCCCCGGCCUUCCUGUGGCCUAAGGACACUGCAUGGGGAGAGGACACAUCAGAGAGCGCGUGGGCGCCUUGCCUUUGAUCUGAAACAGUUUCCCGGACCGCUGCAGGGCUCACUUCCCAAGCAGGGGUGUGCAUCUGUUUUCUGGGAGGUAGAGACCCAUCUCUGACCUCCAGCCCCUCCCCCAAUUCAGUGCAGGGCCCUGGACGCUGAUCUGACGGCCCUCCGACGUCCUCUCCUUUCCACUGGAUGCCCAGGCAGUGAGGGCUUUUUCUAUGCACUUGCCCCGGCUGUGCAGUGACCCACUGGGGUCAACGUCACUCCAGAGUCUCAGGCUUCUUCCCACCUCACUCGGCUUCCUCUCUCUCUCUCACCGGCCUGGAGGGCGGAGGAGCGGAGCCGGGAUUCCCGUCACCCGCUCUGGCAUCUUCCAUCAUUACAAUUUGUCGUGAUUUUUGGAAGUUUGUGGAGGCAGGCGGGAAAGCAAUAAAUGAUCAUAAAUGCUUUUCAGGGUGGGGAUGCUGCCCCCGUUGGUCAGGAACCAGGGAAGGAAGGUGAGUGUGUUGCAUGAUCUGCGACACAACUUCUGGUUACCCUACAACUAACUCUAUAUUUAGAUAAAUACUCAGCCCUCUAGACAAAGGACUUUGUGAAAAAUGAUUCCGUUGUGUAGAUUUACUCCUUGUUGAGAAAGGACGUGUGAGUGUCUGAGGGUGGAACAGAGACGACGGAACCUCGGAUGUUCACGAGACCGAAUCAGACCUCGGAACCUCGGGUGUUUACCAGAUCGAAUCAGAGCUCAGAACCUCAGGUGUUUAUCAGAUCGAAUCAGAGCUCGGAACCUUGGGUGUUCACGAGAUCGAAUCAGACCUCAGAACCUCGGGUGUUCACGAGAUCGAAUCAGAGCCCGGAACCUCGGGUGUUCACCAGAUCGAAUCAGAGCUUGGAACCUUGGGUGUUCACGAGACCAAAUUGGAGCUCAGAACCUCAAGUGUUUACCAGAUCGAAUCAGAGCUCAGGACCUCGGGUGUUCACCGGAUCGAAUCAGAUCUGGUGCUUCUGUGUCCAGAAAGUGAGGUUUGAGGCCAGCUUCUCAGGAUGGGCAUGAACACGUGCUAUCACUGAGGGGGCUGUUGUGGGAACCUAUUGCUUCCAUCUGAUCAGUCCUUUUCUCUGCCAUCCAGCAAAAGAACCUGACCUCUUGGCCAGAAGGAUGGACACAUGAUCUCAGCCAGAAUCAGAAAGUCCUCUAGUGGGAUUUUUCAGAUGGGGUCUGGGACAGACAGGCUGCUUCUCCCAGUGUCAGAGUGCCGUGGCCGUGACAAGUGAGUGUGCAGGGAGUAAAACCAACACAAGGGGCCCAAGAGGGAGAGACUUGAGGCUCCGGUCAUCUCCGAAGCCGCCUUGCCACCAUCCGGCUGUGGACUUGAUCAUACCAACCUGACCGAGCUCCCUCGGAUUGGGUUUGGAGAAUGUACAGCCUCCUGACUAAUGGACGCCCCCGCAGGGGCAGGAGCUAGAGGGGCUGCGGGGAAUCACGACUCUCACAUUGGCUCCAUACCUCCAAUUCCUGAAGAAUGACAGCCAUUGAUUUGUCACGGAAGAUGUCAGAGCAGACUCUCUGUUAGAAUCUCGGUGUGAUUCCUAGUGCUUUAGUGAGCAUGGUUUUUAUUUUGGAUAUUUGCACCAAACAAAGGUUAUAAAGGUAGAAGCUUGAGAGAACAAGGGAUCAGAAGAAGGAAGGAUUCUUUCUGAGUCCCAUGGACGUGAUGUGGCAGUGAGGUUGGGGGCUGUGACCAGGGAGAGCCGUGGGGGAUCCAGAGAUUUUCUUCUGAGUAUCAGAGAUGAUGCCCUGAGUUUCUGCCGAAGGAUUUCGGACCCUUCCCAGGGCGACCACCUACCUGCCCUGGUUUUUCAGGAAAAGAAGGGGUUCCCGAGAGGUGGGAUUUUCGGCGCCCAAACCAGAAAGCUCAGGCGAACUUGGACAAGCUGUCUCUGGUUUGUUGCUUUUGUGAAAAAUUCUCAGGGCUCAAGAUUCAGUUAGGCUCUGUGAUUGGAGGUUUGUCACAGUGGGUGUGCUGAGUUCUUGUUUUUGUUUUUUUUUUUUUUUUGUUUGACCCAGCAGUAGCUAAAAAGAGAAUUUGAAAUGCAUGGUAAGAUUCCAGAACCCAAGAUCAAACGUUCGCCAUGUAAGUGGGUGAACAGAAGGAUCAUCAGGCAGGUUGGAGAUGCAGAGCCUUUGAGAUGUGAUCUCGUUCAGGAAGACAGCGGCACAGGUGACGGGAGAGCAGGGGACCCCUGAACUUCGGGAUGCCGAGGAGGAGGACAGCGCAGGCCCAGGAGCAGAGAGGCUGAUGGUCGGUUGGGCGGCUGGCUGGGGGCUCUGAGGAGGAAGCCCCCAUGUGAGGACCCGCAGGUUGUGCAGAUGCUGCCUUCCUUCCAGCCGUGAACGUGGAAUAGCUUAGAGAGGUCUAUCGGGUGCCAUCUUGAAUCUGUCCAGAAGUGGGUGCCCAUGCUAUGGUAGAGCUUUAACAAGGAAGAGCUUGGGUUCCCCAAUCUCUGGACCUUGAUUCCUUGUUUUCCUCUGACUCACAGGGGAGCCUUGGGUUUCUGGAAAUUGUUACAUUCAUGUUUCUCCCCCUUCAACUCAGUUUUAGACUUCAUAAAAGUGUAGGGUAGAUAGAGAAGGGGGAAAAAAGUCCAGACAGGAUGCACAUGAUUUAAUUAACAAUUUUCCAGGUUAUUAAAUGCACGUAUCUUUUGAAAACCGGGAUUGCACGGUUUUAUUUGGCAACCUGAUUUCUCUCGUGUAUGCUUUCUGAGCAUAAAAUGUGCACGUAGAUGCGCAUGACGUUAGAAGCACGCGAUACACGUAGCCGCGUUGCGCCCUCCGUUUCAUUGUGCGCAACUCAUACAUGUCGUUAUUGUAGCUUCUGGAAAUAUACCUUCAGUGUCGUACAACAUUGCUACGGGUGGACGCAAACAAAAACUAUCUGUUUCAGCAGUGGGCAUUCAACCCUCUCUAAUUCGUGACAUUAAAUGUCCCAUGGCAGCGAGUAUGGAACAAGGUUCCGUGUAUCCUUGAGUGAGUCUUUGCUUCAUGUCCUAUUAUUUCCUUAGGCUGGAUUUCUAGAGGUAGUUCAAGGAGGACACACAGAUUUUGGGCUCUUAUUACACAUGGACAGAUUGUUUUCCAGAAAGAUUCACCCAUUUUAUACUCUUGCCCUGAGUGAAUGAUAAUUUCCCUUGUACCUUUACCGAUUGAACCCUCCAACUCUGGCCAGAAGGGAGCGGAGAGAAUGGGUGAUGGGCGUUGAGGAGGGCACUUGUUGGGAUGAGCACUGGGUGUUGUAUGUAAGCCGAUCUGACAAUAACUUAUAUUUGAAAAGAAAGAAAAUAUUUGCCAAUUUGAUGGAUUAACAAAAGAUAUUUUAACUGGCAUUUGUUGGAUUAGUAGUGGGGGUUGAUUUUUUAAAUGUAUUUAUUCUUAUUCUUUGUGAAAACUCUCAUUUUUGUCCAUUGGGUUUUUUUCUAAAUAGACUUGAUUUUUUCUUAAUUCUUGACGAAUUAUGAGUAUUAAUCCUUUGCCAUUUUAUCGCAAGUUUGCAAUUGGCUGUUUUCUAACUAAAUGUUUUGGUUCUACACUCAAACUCUUUAAAAACAUUUUUUAAAUGUUUACUUUUACUUUUGAGAGAGAGGGAGAGAGAGAGAGAGAGAGAGAGAGACAGAGCACGAGCAGGGCAGGGGCAGAGAGGGAGACAGAAUCCGAAGCAGGCGCCAGGCUCUGAGCUAUCAGCACAGAGCGCGACGCGGGGCUCGAACCCACGAACCGUGAGAUCAUGACCUGAGCUGAAGUCGGACGCUUCACUGCCUGAGCCACCCAGGUGCCCCUACCCUCAAACUGUUUUAAAGUCAAAAUUGAUCUUUUGCUGUGAUUUUGUUUCAUUGCGUUUAUUCUCAGAAAGCUCUUAUAUGAAUUAAACUUUACUUAUAUGGUAUUUUGAUUAUCUCAUGAUUUCAUUUUUUUUAACAUUUUUGAUUCUGAAAAAAAAUUUUUUUUUUUGUAAUUUUGACAACAAAAUUAGAAACAGAGCAAGUGCAGAGACUAAUUUAACACAUACUCGUAUAGCCUGCUACUGGAAUUGAACAGAUUUUGUCAUCUGGGCACAUUCUCUUUCGAUUUUUACCAUGUCAGAAGUCAAAAGUCCCUGAAACCCCCUUUCUGUUCUGCCUUAGUCUCCUCAGAGCGAACCCACCAUGAAAUCUGUGGACAUCCCCCCACCCCCGGGCCGUGUUUCUAUGCUUUUAUUUUAUUUUACAUCCUGAAAACAGUAUAGAAUAUUAUUUCAUGUAUUAAAAAGAAGAGAUGAAUAAGGGGCGCCUGGGGGGCUCAGUUGGUUAAACAUCUGACUUCAGCUCAGGUCAUGAUCUCACAGUUCGUGAGUUCGAGCCCCCUGUUGGGCUCUGUGCUGACAGCCCAGGGUCUGGAGCCCGCUUCGGAUGCUGGGUCUCCCUCUCUCUCUGCCCUUCCUCCACUUAUGCUCUCUCUCUCUGUCUCUCUCAAAAAUAAAUAAAAACAUUUAAAUAAAAAAGAAAAGAUGAAGAAAUCCUAUUAUAUGGAUAUAUUCUGCAACUUUUCUUUUUGUAACCCAAGAUCCUGCUUUUGGGAUUUAUCCACUGGGAUACUUAGCUGUAGCUUAUGGGAUUCGGCGUGCCGGGCGGGCGCGUGAGUCUACCCCGUCCCCUACUCUGUGCCCAGGGGAGCACCUGGGCACCUCCAGCCGCUGGCCUCCAGCCCGGCCUACACACGGCGGGGCCUCUGAGGGCUUGUCUUCGAAGGUGGGGUCUCUGAGAAGGAGACCAGCGGGCAGGAGGGGACGGGGGGGUAAGACACUGGUGGAAGAGAAGGGAAGGAAGCAGGUGGACGGGGGAAAACCGGGCGUUGGUUCAGUCUCAGGAAGCCCCUGCCAGCCCCCCGGAGGCGUCCAAAGCAAGGAGGACCUCCCGACUUGCUGGGAGUUGGCGUGGGCAUCAGAGCCUCCCCCGCCCCCGCAUCUAACAACACUCCAUGUGCACCACCCUGGCCGGCACCGUGGCCUUGGGCACAGUGGCUGGCUUCAGCCCAGCCUCGUUCAGAAGAGGGCUGAGCACGGACGGCAUGCCCGGCAGCUGGGGGCUCGGUCCUUCCGCCUGGAAGGGGGACGUGGGCAGCGCAUCUCGGCGUCCGCUGCCCUUGUCUCGUCACUCCUCCGCCUUGAGAAUCAGGCGUUCUCUGCAACGGUCCCGAGGGAGGGGCUCUCCAAGAGCCACGGAGCCACAGGCUGUCCCACAGCCCCUGGCGAGCAAGCGUGGAGGGCUUCGAAGUCCGCAGCAGGUGCCGUCUGUUGCCGCUAGGCGUGCUUUUCCCUCACAUGUUCCACCCGGUUUGGUCCUGUCUGUAUUCUGUGUCGCAAGGAGAAAAACUGCCUGUAGUUAUUGGCACGUAGAUGAACCGACUCGUGUUCGCUCACGCAUGUUUGUUGAGUGCCUCAGUGUCCCCGGGCGUGGGUCCGGCGGUUGUAGACACAGUGUUCAGACAGCAAAGUAACACACACACGCACACGUGCACGUGCAUGAUGUCAUGACGGGUGGGAGCCCAUUAAGUGGGGGAAAAAUCACGUCAGGUUAAAGGGGUAGAGAGUGGGGAAAGAAGGCCUACGUCAGUUCAAACAGGGACCUGGGAGAGCUUUUCUGAUAAAGUGACAUUUAAGCAGAAACUGGAAGGAAAUGAAGGGGUGGUAAGUGUAAGUGUUUGGGAUGAGGGUGUUCGAGGCAGAGGUACAGCAUAUGCAAAGGUCCUGAGGCAGAAGAAAGCCCGGCAAGUUCAAGAAUCCUCUGGAAGGUCGGUGUGGCUGGACUGGGGUGAGGGAGGGAGGCACAGCAGACGCUUACAGAGGGAGCCAGGUCUGACCAGGUGAGGCCCCGUGGACCAUCCGGAGAAGUUUUGUCUUUGACCCUGAUUAGGAUGAGAGCCACUGUACGGUCUGAAGGGGCCAGUGGGAUAACCUGGGUGAGGGUUAAAAGGAGCACUCUAGAAGCUGGGUGAGGGGUGGAGAUUCGGGGGACAAGAACGGAAGCGGGAGGAUUCCUGCAGGAGUCCAGGAAGACAGGGCUCGCUCUGGGAGAAUGGACAGGUCAUAUCCAGCCCCUGGACUGGACAAGGUCCACUAGUGAGUGACUGUCGACGGGGAAGACAUCCCAGGACGGAGUCCCAUGGCCCUCCAGCCGGUGGAGGUCAGAGAGAGGGUGAGGCCAGCUGGGAGCCGGGAGGGGGAGGACGGCCGGCCAGCUGCCCGCGGAAGGCGCGUGGAGACCGCGUUCCAGCGACCGGCUGUGAUCGGCGGGGUGGGUGCCGCUGAGAGCUCACCUGUCCCGGCUGCUACCGCUCACGUGCGUGGCGUUUCCCAGGUGGAAGUGGGGGUUGGGCCAUCCCCACUGGAAUUCGGGAGGCAGGGAAAUCAACACCUAACCUCAGACCUUGGUCUUGGCAGACGCCGUUACGGGCGACUGCGAUGAACGGAAUCACUUGUCUGGAGGAAAGGAGGCCUCCCGUCUGCAGACCCCGGAGGACUCUUCUCUAGAGGUGGGGGGCUCCAGGGCCGCUCCCUCAGCCAGCGAUGGCCGCGGUGGCAUCCGGAGCACUGCUCCGUCCUCUCGCUCGCCGAAGGCUGCUUUCCGCGGCCAGGAACGAUUCUGCUCAGUUACUCUGUUGUGUCCCUCUUGCCCUCCCUCCUGGCUGGAGGCCCAGCUUCCUGCCCUUGGUGGAUUCUCAUUUUAUGUGAAACGUAAGAUGUCCUUUCCCUGAACAUAAUUUUGGACUUUAUUAAAACCCCGUCUAAUCCAGCUUUCGGCAGAGGGCGCACCGGGCUGUUAUUGAUUGGCAAUACUGUUAUCUGCUUAAGCGAAGAGGGAAGAAGUCAGAGCUGUCGAGUGAGGUCCAAAGCCAAGGCAGCCCCCCCGAGUUCUCUCUGGUCUCUGCCUUUUCGAGUCAUGGUGGAAACUCUGUGCUGUGGAUGAAGGCGAGCGGCAGGCAGGGCUGCCUUGGAAGGAAAGAAUGGCCACCCUUCUCUUUGCAGCACUUGGGUGUGAGAACCUCUGUUGUCGUCGGACGCGGAGCUGGCCCCCGCGGGGCCUGGAGGAGCUUGUUUCUUGCUGUCUGGCUGACAUCGGUAGCCUGUGGGGCCAGGAGUCACAGGUCCCCAGAUCGUCCUCCAGGCCUUCUUUGCAGAGCAAGGCGCCCUAGGGUUCCGUUCAUUCUGGCGGGUCAGACUCCACGGAACCCCGGGUACAAGAUGGCAACCUAGCGGCACCAGGGCCCGGGAAAGUCAUGCCAUCGGACUCUGGGAAAGUGGCGGGAAGCCUCUGUCUACACACGCGCUCCUUCCCAUUUUGGUGACGCUCAGCAAAGUGCUCUCCUCCCCUCCCCUCGGGGCUCCUCCAAUCCCAGGUAGAUGGGGCAACGUCCGUUUCCACUUGAGACAGAAACGGUCUGCACUCGUGCUGCCUUCUUGGAGAGGGGCGUUUGUCACGAGAAGUGGUCGUUUCUUGUCGGGGAAGCGCCUUGCUGAGGCGACCUGGGGAAAGGCAACGCCGUCCGACCACCGGCUGGCUGGCGGGUGAGCUGAGGGGACCCCAGAAUUCCUCCACGUGACCCUGUGGGAGAGACGUGAGGUGACCCCAGAAAGGGAGGAAGUCAGGGGGGCUUAGGGGCACCUUCCGGUCCCUGUGUUGAUCUUGUCCUCUGCCUGCAGAGCCCCUGGUGCAGAAUAGAUGCUCAGUAGACUGUUGUAGGAGUGUUAACUGAUCCAUCUAAAGUUAAGAGGUUUGGGUAGCAGCAUUAGCUGCCCUGACCUGAGUUUUGUCCUGCUUGUGCGUUACGCGGGGGGUUGCCUCUGCCCCUUCCUAGGCGCUGAGCACUUCUUUUUGGGUUAUGGUCUCACUUUAUGAGUACAAGGACAUGCGAAUAGAUGUGCUGGGUCCCCAAGCGACUACCGAUUGAACCUCUGCUCUCUAAGGAGGAGAUCGAGCUCCUUCUGGAACCGGUGGG